This is a long non-coding RNA of Cydia fagiglandana, 5371 nucleotides long. RefSeq lists it as uncharacterized. The transcript has 2 exons. Lineage: Eukaryota; Metazoa; Arthropoda; Insecta; Lepidoptera; Tortricidae. The record is from RefSeq and is a predicted model, not a curated record.
UAAUGCAUGUUAAUUAUAAGAUGUAAUAAUGUUUUGAAAAGAUGUGUCCCGCCGAGUUUGUUGCCGGUCCCAUAUUGGGAUACCCUCCUCCAAUUGAGGGGGGAUUUAAAUCUUCUCGGGGCAGAGGUGUAGGGUUAGAGCCGGUGUAGCUUUAUUUGACGUUCAUAAGCAUAUUGUAAUAUACCUACUUAUAAAAUAAACUAUCUUUAUCACAUACUACCACAUAAUUGCAUGUUUGGUAAACAUGCAAGUUUGACGGCUGCCUGCGAAGCUGAUGGUCCGGGUUUCUAAUCCCAGUAAGGCCAUUUAUUUGUGUGAUGAACACAAAUAUUUGUUCCUGACACAUGGGUGUUUUCUAUGUAUAUAAGUAUGUAUACGUCACCUAGCACCCAUAGAACAAGCUUUGCUUAGUUUGGGGCUAAGAUGAUAAAAUAAAAAAAAAACAACGGGUUGCACUCCGGGAGUGCCGGCAGAAGUGAAAACUCAAUGACAUUGUAACAGUUUUUCGAUCAGGUCACGUGUCCGUCUUACGUCGUACGAAUCAUACGGUCACGUGACCUGUCGCGAGUUUAAAAAAAUUUCCCCAUCACAAAAAGUGCACACUGCACAGCGCCGCUAAAGAAGUUUUCACUUCAAUAAAAAACAUAAAAUCAGGAAGUUAAUAGUUGGCCAGGGGAACGUAACCAAUGACAACAAUGUAAAUUCACCCAUAAGUACUAUAUUGUUGGCCGCUCGUGAAAUGGUCCUUGAACCCGAUGUUUUGUUGUGAGUUUCGUGCCUUUCGUAUCUAGUCUGGUUGUAUGUAAUGAAGGCAACAAACCUCUUGGCGUUCAAUAGAGAUAUUAGAGAAUAUUUGUAAAAACUACAGUUAUUUCAGUGGAAUGACCAAUGUAAACUGCGUUCAGUUCUAAUGAAGAUGGUUAGGGAGUUAGAAGUUGUCGAUAAGGGCACCGAAUGAGCCCUCCAAGGGAUCUUUAUGGCUGUAAUGAUAUAUCGUUGGUCUAAGCGAGGUAGCACACGGCGCCUUUAUUCAGCAAGGCCGCAAUACAGGCGCGAUGUUGUGGCUGGUCAUAUACCUUCACACACGUAAACAUGAUUCUGCAUCGUAAUAUAGCAUCAAUAUAGCCGUGUUUCCGCAUCGAUAAAACCGCAAUACAUCAUCGAUAUGGCCUUGUUUCAGCGUCGAUACAGCCGCGAUGUAGAAUUCAUUCAGACGAGGAUGUCCCUAAUCGUAGAAUGUUGAAUUAGAACGUGGGUAACAUUCGUUAUUCCUCUAUAAAUAAUAAUAUAGUCAUAUCGUAGUUUUAAAAGUUGAAGCGUGAUUUACGACUUUAAGAUCAAUGUCUCCUUUUAAAAUAGAAUAAGCUGGUAGAACACCCGUCGUAAAAUAUAUAUUUUUACAUCCGUACUCUUGUUUCUAUGACUCAUUCUUAGAUUUAGGCUAAAUAUUCUAUGGAUCGGAUCUACCUUUCAUUCAUUAAUGGUCCGACAGAAACAAAAGAUGCCCACAUCUUACUUACAGUCAAGUGUAAAAAUAUGGGUGCAUACAACUUACUCAAAAAUAUGUUCCAUAGUUCUUAAUACGCUGACAUAAGAGCUAUGGGAUAUAUUUUUGAGUAUGAUGAGUGCACCCAUAUUUAUACUCUUGACUGUAGGAUAAUAAAACGUCACAGUACCUACACAAAUCUCAGGUCCAAAUCCCAGUCGGUUUAUAACGACUUUAAAAUGUUGUGAAUAUGAUCUCCUAGUUUUUUCGAUAAUAUUUCGAUUUGAUACUGUUUACUGUCACAAUUAUAAAUAAAAUGGUUACCAGCAUUAAUGACCAAAGAUCUGAAAAUGGAUUUACAUUGAAAUUUUAAUGUUGCUUAAAUUAUCCAAAUACGAAAUAUUGAUUUUUCUAUUGACCACUAAGCGUCACUUGCACCAUUCCACUAACUCGGAAUUAACCGGUUAAACCUGGUGUUAUCGUGGUUACCAGUACAAUUUGACACUGGGUUAUCGGUUUAACCGCUUAACUCCGGAUUAGAGGGACGGUGCAAGUGGCGCUAAAUAUACUUCGCAUGCAAUGGCCUCAAAUAUGCAUGUUAAUAAUAUUGUGUAAACAUUAUAUACUGUAAAUGUGCUAGUGAAUCUAAUCCUUAAGCAAACCUCCAUUGAUUGUAUAAGACGUGUAAAAAAAUGACGUAUUGUGUUUGAUAUAAGUUGUCAGAAAUGCUAAAACGUGUUGUUAAUUUCGUCGCAUUGCGUAUAUUCUGUCAUGACGACUCAGGAGCGCACGCGCAUGCCCAUCUAUAGAAAAUCCUACAUCUAAGGCGCCAUCAUAUUUUAUGGUUACUGAAUUUUCAAACGUCAACUUUUCGAACCAAAGUCAUCAUCUUCCUCGCGUUGUCCCGGCAUUUUUGCUACGGCUCAUGGGAGCCUGGGGUCCGCUUGGCAACUAAUCCCAAGAAUUGGCGUAAGCACUAGUCUUUACGAAAGCGACUGCCAUCUGACCUUCCAACCCAGAACCAGAGUGGCCACAUAAUAUACAGAGCCGCACAGCGCCAUCUACAAUACCUGUCAAGCACGAAAUAGUCUUACACUUUUUACAUGUAAACACAAUCAAUGAAUUUUUGAUGUUUUUGCGAAGGUAUAUCCAUAUUGCCUACUAGCGCAUUUACAAUGUAUUAAAGUAAAAAAUCAUGCUUCAAAUGACCCCAUUUCCUCCUACUUCAUGCUACCGUCAUCCGAUGUCCAGACCCCCCCCCCCUAAUUUGAAAUGACGUAAUUUAUGAAUAGCCCCAAGGCAGCGUUUUUUAUAUAAACAAUUUCAUCAUAAUGUAACAGUAAAUGUUGAUAUUCGAUACAAAAUGUACGUACGCGUACGAAAUAACUUUUACUCCUAAGACGACAGUCUCAUCCUCAUUUUAAUUUGUUUUUGUUUUGACAUUUAACAAUAACACUUGAACAAUGUGCAAUAUAAAUAGGUAUCAUUUUCAUUCUCAACCAGCCGUCCUUUUUGUUAUUCUUGUAUAUCGUCGGGUGACAAGCAAAAGUCACUAAGUACUAUCAAAAAAUUAAAGUAACAAUGCACUUUAUUGCACUUGUAACACGGUUUAUUGUCCAAUAAAUUCAAUGGUGUUAGUGUCUAUUGCUUGUCCCCCGAUGAUAUUCUUUUAAGAUUAUAGUAUGUGACAGUGUUGGGCGUAAUUAAUUACUCGUGUAAUUUAAUUAGUAAUUUAAUUACAUGUAAUUGAAUUACAAUGUAAUUGAAUUACAUAAAAUUUAAUUACAUGUAAUUAAAUUUUCUGUGUAAUUUGCAAUUGUAAUUACAUUAAUUAGUAAUUAAAUUACUCAAUUACUUUUCAUUUACCUUUUUAAUAAUAUGCAAAUAUGAACAAAUUUACUUGGAGUAAUUAUAAAGAAAAACUUUUAUGAAUUCCAUAAAUUCCAUUAUACGCUGGAUAACGUUAUAACAUAUUUUUUAUCCCUGGAAUCAUACCUUUACAGGGUACUAUGUGACAAACCACGUUGAAUAUGGCGGUUGGCGCUUACGUCGCGUAGCACCGCAUUAGUAUUGGGGCGCCGCUAAUAAUGACGUAAGCGCCGACCUAAGGUGCCUUUCGGGUUGGACUGUAGCAAAGGGGGGGCUGGGACUUAGAAUUUUUUUUGACAAAGUGGUGUCAUUAUGACACUAUUUUUAAAUGAUUGUAAUGUGUAGGUCACGUCAAAAUAAGCAUCUUAUACUGAAAAAACUUUUCUCUAAAAUAAAAAAUGGCUGAGUUAGACGCCUCCAAAGAUUGAUGUUUUUAAAGGGAGCUGGGACUUAGAAAAUUUUCAUCGCGAGUGGUGUCAUUAUGACAUAUAUUUUAAAUGAUUGUUAUAGAACACGUCAAAAUAAGCUACUUUUACUUGAAAAACUUUUUUCUAAAAUUUUAUUAAGAACUGUUUUAAAACCCGUUUUUUUUCAUUUCCUCAAAAAAAAAUUCUAAGUCCCAGAAACGGCCCCCCUUUUGAUACAGUCCGCUAUUUUCAAUUUUAGAAAAAAGUUUUUCAAGUAAAAGUAGCCUAUUUUAACGUGUUCUAUCCGUUACAAUCAUUUCAAAUAUAUGUCAUAAUGACACCACUCGCGAUGAAAAUUUUCUAAGUCCCAGCUCCCUUUAAAAUCAUCAAUCUUUGGAGGCGUCUAACUCAGCCAUUUUUUAUUUUAGAGAAAAGUUUUUCCAGUAAAAGGUGCUUAUUUUGACGUGAUCUACACAUUACAAUCAUUUAAAAAUAGUAUCAUAAUGACACCACUAAAUCAGAAAAAUAUUCUAACUCCCAGCCCUCCCUUUGCUACAGUCCAACCAAAUCAACCAAAGUUAACAUUGACAAUGUUGCUUAGUCAAAUUUAAAACCAUUCAAAAUGUUCAUCUGAUUUUGGAAAUAAAGAUGAUCAAUAACUUGCAUUCUAUAAAAGUAAUUGUAAUUCAAAAAAGUAAUUAAAUUACAAAUUUCAAUUACAAAAUGUAAUUAAUAAUUUAAUUACUAAUUACAUUUUGCAAUUGUAAUUAGUAAUUAAAAUUUUAAUUACUCUCCACAUGUAAUGGAAAUUAUUUGUUGGAAUUACAUUUUGUAAUUGCAAUUGUUAAUUAGUAAUUCAAUUACUUUUUGCCCAACACUGGUAUGUGAUAGCGUUCCACGGAGACACUGAGUAAGUCUCUCAGGCUAUUGUUAUUUACAAUUUACCAACAGUUUGUUUUCAUAAAUACAUGAAGCAUUCAAAGCGCUAUAAGGUUUAUAAAUUAUGAUUUUGAACUUUAAAGCAAAGUGAUUGGGUUCAAUUUAGGUCACCCGUCUGCCCGUUGAAGGGUUAAAUCCUACUAAUGAAACUAAAAAACCUUUGAAAAUGUCAACUACUAAGCCAAAUGAGCUUACACUAAACUAAAAGUAGGUACAUGUAAGCUUUUUAUUUUGUCUUUGCUUACUAAGAAAAAAAAAGAUAUACAUACUUAUACGUAAUUAAUUUGGCUGCCAAUUCGAUGGUAUUUUAUCAGUUUAAAGGCGCAAUAAUAAAUUUCCUCGUAUGAGGCCUAUUUUAGUGCUUUUGAGUAUAAAAAUUCAAAAGUAGAAUUUAUUUUCUAAUUGUACAAGUACGCCGCACAUACAAGUCACGAAAAAACUCAGAUACAAGCUUGUACUGUUUCCGUGGAACCUCCCACCCUACUCUAUUACAGAUGUAGGUACCGAUGAAGCCUUACAAACCCCCAGAAAGACGUAAAAUAUCUAUUUAUGGUACAUCGAUAUGCGAUCUGUGUGUACAAAGGCAGAAAACGAUAUUUUUGUAAUAACGAACAGUUAUUGUGAAAUGAUAUUAUUAUUACGUAUAAUAAAUAUUGUCUGAUUGACCAAA